Long non-coding RNA from Poecilia latipinna (sailfin molly), 693 nucleotides. RefSeq lists it as uncharacterized. The record is from RefSeq and is a predicted model, not a curated record. The transcript has 2 exons. NCBI's taxonomy places the organism in Eukaryota, Metazoa, Chordata, Actinopteri, Cyprinodontiformes, Poeciliidae.
UCAUAUUUGCAUACAUAAGGUUGAGAAAUAAUAAAAAUAAAAAAAAUGGGAAAAUUAAAACCCAUUUUGUCCCUAUUCUGAAGAAUCACUGAUUUAACAAAUCUCAAUAUCUAUAACAUUUGAAUCUGGAGGAACCAUCUACGGUUGACACUCUGGCGUCGAAGUACCGGCGUUCCACCCUUCCACCCUUCUUAUGCUGCCGUAAAUGAGAUGAUCAGCCUCCGGUGUGAUGAUGACGUCAUCGAUGAAGCCACAGCCCGCCACCUCUCGGACUCCAUCUAGUAGGGAGAUAACUCAGCAACCCAAAGGAACAAACUAAAAUCCCAGAACCUAACAAUUUGUUUAAAAACAUUAAUACAAUUUCACAAGUGGAAAAAGAGCACCCCAGUGAGUAACUUCAGAUUUAUUUAUACUAGUUAAAUAUGGAAGAAAGAAACUAAAAAAAAAGUUUGGUCAUAUGAGAUAAGAGACAUAAUAACUCCAGCAAUGUCUUAAAAACAUCACUGGGAAAAAACAACAUAAAAACCCCCUCAGAGAAACAAAAACACCAACAAUGAUACACAUGUCGAGGAAGUAAAAUCUAAAGGGUCAAGAAGGUCCAGUGGAAAACCAAAAGCUGAACUGAAUCAUCUGCUCAGUCGUUUCCCUUCAGCCCUUGUGGUUGUGGAGUCGCAGGAUGUUCCUCCUUGGUUU